GAGAGAGGAGAGAGAGAGGAGAAAGAGAGAGAGGAGAAAGAGAGAGAGAGGAGAAAGAGAGAGAGAGGAGAAAGAGAGAGAGGAGAAAGAGAGAGAGAGAGAGAGAGAAGAAAGAACUGUUAAACAGAGAAAGAGAUCUGAAGGGAGGCUCUAUCCUAAGAUCAAAUCAAAAUUAAAUGUUAUUUGUCACAUGCGCUGAAUACAACCUUCCUAUGAAAUGCUUACUUACAAGUCCUUAACUUUAUUUUCUUUAAACUGCAUUGUUGGUUAAGAAAAUAUUUUUAAAAUGUCAACAAAAUAACUGAGGCUAUAAACAGGGGGCACCGGUACCGAGUCAGUGUGAGGGGUACAGGUCAAAGGUCAUUUGUAUAUGUAGGUAGGGGUGAAGUGACUAUACAUAGAUAAUAAACAGUAGUACAGGUUAAAGGUCAUUUGUAUAUGUAGGUAGGGGUGAAAUGACUACGUAUAGAUAAUAAACAGUAGUACAGUUUAAAGGUCAUUUGUAUAUGUAGGUAGGGGUGAAGUGACUCCGAUGGCCAUUCGAUGAAUUGUUCAGCAGUCUUCUGCCUUGGGGGUAAGAAGCUGUUCAGGAGCCUUCUGGUCCUAGACUUGGCGCUCUGGUACCGCUUGCCGUGCGGUAGCAGAGAAAACAAACAGUCUAUGACUGGGGUGGUUGGAGUCUUUGACAACUUUUAGGGCCUUCUACUGACACCGCCUGGUGUUGAGGUCCUGAAUGGCAGGAAGCUUGGCCCCAGUGAUGUACUGG
Long non-coding RNA from Oncorhynchus tshawytscha (Chinook salmon), 766 nucleotides. The record is from Ensembl. Lineage: Eukaryota; Metazoa; Chordata; Actinopteri; Salmoniformes; Salmonidae.